AAGCGCCCGUCUGGUCCGCAUGAAGCAGACUUCGUUAAUAGGAAAUCAUUACACAGCAUCAAUGUACAGAUGAUUUGUGAUGCAGAUUGCAUCAUCACAAAUGUAGAGGCAAAAUGGCCUGGCUCAGUGCAUGAUUCCAGAAUCUUUCGGGCCUCUUCUCUUUCCCACCAACUGGCACAAGGUCAAUUCUCAGGAGUUUUGCUGGGAGACAAGGGAUAUGCAUGCCUGCCUUAUCUCUUGACUCCCUAUCAGGAGACGCAGACUGAGGCACAGCACAACUACAAUAUUGCCCAUGCACGCACAAGAG
This is a long non-coding RNA of Xyrauchen texanus (razorback sucker), 307 nucleotides long. RefSeq lists it as uncharacterized. NCBI's taxonomy places the organism in Eukaryota, Metazoa, Chordata, Actinopteri, Cypriniformes, Catostomidae. The record is from RefSeq and is a predicted model, not a curated record. The transcript has 3 exons.